AGCGAACGCUGGCGGCAGGCUUAACACAUGCAAGUCGAGCGCCCCGCAAGGGGAGUGGCAGACGGGUGAGUAACACGUGGGAACGUACCCUUUGGUUCGGAAUAACUUGGGGAAACUCAAGCUAAUGCCGGAUAAGCCCUUAUGGGGAAAGGUUUACUGCCGAAGGAUCGGCCCGCGUCUGAUUAGCUAGUUGGUGAGGUAACGGCUCACCAAGGCGACGAUCAGUAGCUGGUCUGAGAGGAUGAUCAGCCACACUGGGACUGAGACACGGCCCAGACUCCUACGGGAGGCAGCAGUGGGGAAUCUUGGACAAUGGGCGCAAGCCUGAUCCAGCCAUGCCGCGUGAGUGAAGAAGGUCUUCGGAUUGUAAAGCUCUUUUGCCAGGGACGAUAAUGACGGUACCUGGAGAAUAAGCCCCGGCAAACUUCGUGCCAGCAGCCGCCGUAA
RNAcentral lists this ribosomal RNA (447 nucleotides) under uncultured bacterium. RNAcentral describes it as "partial 16S ribosomal RNA". It matches the Rfam family "Bacterial small subunit ribosomal RNA", at positions 29 to 523 of the family's 1533-position model. The record is from RNAcentral.